This 474-nucleotide ribosomal RNA is filed under the name uncultured bacterium. RNAcentral's name for it is "bacterial SSU rRNA". It matches the Rfam family "Bacterial small subunit ribosomal RNA", at positions 66 to 524 of the family's 1533-position model. The record is from RNAcentral.
GAUCGAACCGACUGGAGCUUGCUCCCAAGAGUUAUCGGCGGACGGGUGAGUAUCACGUGGGCAAUCUGCCUAUAAAAUGGGAUACUUCGGGAAACCGGAUCUAAUGACGGAUAAUUCUUUUCCUCUCAUGAGGAAAAGCUAAAAGACGGUUUACGCUGUCACUUAUAGAUGGGCCCGCGGCGCAUUAGCUAGUUGGUGAGGUAACGGCUCACCAAUGCAACGAUGCGUAUCCGAUCUGAGAUGGUGAUCGGCCACACUGGGACUGAGACACGGUCCAGACUCCUACGGGAGGCAGCAGUAUGGAAUCUUCCGCAAUGGACGAAAGUCUGACGGAGCAUCGCCGUGUGAGUGAUGAAGGUUUUCGGAUCGUAAAACUCUGUUGUUAUGGAAGAACAAGUACCAGUUAACUGCUGGUACCUUGACGGUACCUAACCAGAAAGCCACGGCUAACUACGUGCCAUCAGCCGCGGUAAU